GAUGAAGAACGCAGUGAAAUGCGAUAAGUAAUGUGAAUUGCAGAGUUCAGUGAAUCAUCGAGUCUUUGAACGCACAUUGCGCCCCCUGGUAUUCCGGGGGGCAUGCCUGUCCGAGCGUCAUUGCUGCCCUCAAGCACGGCUUGUGUGUUGGGCCUCCGCCCCCCGGCUCCCGGGGGGCGGGCCCGAAAGGCAGCGGCGGCACCGCGUCCGGUCCUCGAGCGUAUGGGGCUUCGUCACCCGCUCCGUAGGCCCGGCCGGCGCCCGCCGGCGACCCCCCUCAAUCUUUCCAGGUUGACCUCGGAUCAGGUAGGGAUACCCGCUGAACUUAAGCAUAUCAAUAAGCGGAGGA
RNAcentral lists this unclassified non-coding RNA (349 nucleotides) under soil metagenome. RNAcentral's name for it is "partial contains 5.8S ribosomal RNA, internal transcribed spacer 2, and large subunit ribosomal RNA". The stretch from base 1 to 120 matches the Rfam family "5.8S ribosomal RNA", at positions 35 to 154 of the family's 154-position model. The record is from RNAcentral.